GACGUAGGGUGCAAGCGUUGUCCGGAUUUAUUGGGCGUAAAGAGCUCGUAGGCGGCUCGUCGCGUCGACUGUGAAAACCCGGGGCUCAACCUCGGGCUUGCGGUCGAUACGGGCGGGCUAGAGUUCGGUAGGGGAGACUGGAAUUCCUGGUGUAGCGGUGAAAUGCGCAGAUAUCAGGAGGAACACCGGUGGCGAAGGCGGUUCUCUGGGCCUUACCUGACGCUGAGGAGCGAAAGCGUGGGGAGCGAACAGG
RNAcentral lists this ribosomal RNA (253 nucleotides) under uncultured bacterium. RNAcentral's name for it is "partial 16S ribosomal RNA". It matches the Rfam family "Bacterial small subunit ribosomal RNA", at positions 524 to 776 of the family's 1533-position model. The record is from RNAcentral.